CCCCCCCCCGCCCGGGUUCCGCCUGCGCUGCGGAGCUGCAGCCUCCAGGUGAUGACUUUCUCCAGCUGGUUCUAGCCCCUUGGGGCAGACCUGGGCCCUGUUAAUACAAAUUCUGAGCCAGAGUCUCCAGGCUGCAGAAUGACGUCCAUGUUUCGCUCCAUCUCAUCCCAUCCUCCCAUGACACAGGGAAGAGAAAUGGCUUCAUAGGAGCCUGUUCAGAGGCCAGUGACCUUUGAGGAGGUGGCUGUGUAUUUCACCAGGGAAGGGUGGGCUCUGCUGGACCCUGUCCAGAGAGCUCUCUGCAGAGACGUCAUGCAGCAGAACUAUGAGAAUGUGACCUCACUGGCAUCACCCCAAUAUGCCAGUGACACAGAGGACCCUCCUCUCUCCCCCGCUGCAGAACACUUUGGGAACAGAGCACAGGAGCAGUAUUGCACAGUAUCAAAUAGCUCGUGUUUGCUCAAGUAAAACUGGGGGUUAGGUCCAGCAUAAUGAACAGAAGGUUCCUACUCCUGUCCUUCUUUUCAAACAUUCAGCCUACUCCCCCCAAACCAGAACGUGCUUGGGGUGUCAGAGGCAGGCUGCUGUAGUCAGAGCUGCUGGGUCAGAGUUACUUAUCACACAGACACUCAGGGUAUGGCUACACUUGCAGCAGUACAGCGCUAGGAGUUAGACCUGCCUUUGUACAGCUGAGUAGGGAAAGCGCUGCAGUCUGUCCACACGGACAGCUGACAGCGCACUGGUGUGGCCACAUUUGCAGCAGCAGUGGGAGUGGUGCAUUAUGGGCAGCUAUCUCAGCAUUCAAGUGGUUGUAACGUGCUUUUCAAAAGGGGGUUGUGGUGGGCUGGAGUGUGACAGGGAGCGUGGAGGGUGAGAGUGGGUUUUAUGGAGUGCUGAGAGUGUCAGCACCCUGCCUUGCAAAUUCCGACCCCCCCACCCCCACCCCUCACUCACUGAAAGCAGACAGCAGCUAUUUGAUUUUUCUCACAGACCAGAUAAGCAGCCGCUCACCAAAAUGGACCCCCCUACUUCCCUCCAUGCGCCACCUCUCUCUUCAAGCUAACAUUAGCUGUGGGUGUUCCAAAGGGAGCCCCCCUGCCUCUCCCUACUCAUUCACAGCAAACAGUAGCUGUGUUUGGUUUUUUGAAAAGCAGCUCCCGGAGCCCAGAGUUCACAACAAAACAAGGAGAGGAGCCUUCACUUAAAAGGGUCAUGGGGAGUUCUUCUUUGAGUGCUUGCUCAUAUCGAUUCCAAUUAGGUGUGUACACGCGCCACGUGCACGUUCGUCGGAAGAUUUUUACCCUAGCAACACUCAGUGGGUCGGCUGGGUCGCCCUCUGGAGUGGCGCCAUUAUGGCUCCAGAUAUAUACCCCUGCCGACCUGACGGCCCCUCAGUUCCUUCUUACCGCUCAUGACGGUCGUUGGGACUGUGGAGCGUGACUUUGCUGAACUCCACUUCCCUAGCUUACUCGUUGUUCUUUACUGUUAAUUGUCUUUAUAGUUGGAGUUUUUACAGUUGUAGUUAGUGUUAAUUGUUGUGUAUAUAUAUAGUUGUUGAGGGAGAAUCGGGGAUUAGCCCCUUUCCUCCACCCCAGUGCCGGGCUCAUUCCCAGGUCACCGGGAUUCAAACCGUGCUCGACGUGCCAAAAGCCGAUGCCAAUAGGGGAUCCCCAUGACUGCUGCCUCAAGUGCCUAGGGGAAUCCCGCCUUCCUGAAAAGUACCGCAUCUGUAAGUCAUUUAAACCGAGGACGAAGAAGGAGCCGAACUUUCGACUGAAACAGCUCCUCGUGGAGGCGGCACUUAGCCCUGCGACAUUGAUACCAAGUGCUCAACAGCCUGCAUCUGUGAGGAGCGCUUCUUUGGCUCCGGACCGCUCUGGUACCGCGAAGGAGCCACGGCACCGACCCUCGCUGGCACCGAUGUCUGCUCGGCACCGCUCCCUGUCCCUGCAGUCCAGGAAGCAACACAGCGCUCCGGCUACUUCGGCGCACAGAAGGAGGGCCCAUGAGCGACGGAUCGCACAGCACCAUCAUCUGCCGCGGCACCACUGAGUGCGGCACCGCAGGGUGUGGCACUGUUGAUUCCGGUCCCGCAGGGGCUGUUGAGUCAGGUGCCCGAAAGCUCCCUGGCUCAUGCUGUGGUCGAGCUCGCUCUCCCAUCCACACCAGAGACCUUCUCCACAGCGCAGGAGUUGACCGCGAAGACGGAGACUGCGCUGCCUCAACCCCCACCACUGCCGGUGCGGGUCAUCCAAUCUAUUGGCAAGCCUGCCUUGCUGAGGCUGCCCUCUGUGGGAGCCACCAAGAGGCAUCGUUCAAGAUCUCAGUCCCAUCGACGAUCUUGGUCACGCCGCCGAUUCUGGUCCCAACGCCGCUCUCUAUCGCGGUACCGGUCGCACUCGCGGCACUGCUCGGCCUCCUGUUCGCCUGCCAGAUACUCACAUUACCGAUCCGACUCCCAGCACCGUUCACGGCAACGCACAUCUCGCAACUGCUCCAGGUGAAGGGACUUGAGAUCCCAGUCGACCUCCCAGCACCGCUUCGGUCGUAGGUCCCGGUCUCCCUCGCGGUACCAUUACAGCUUCCGGUACCGUCCCAGGAAUGAUCAGCCUGAGACAUGGCUCCCUCUCAGGGUCUAUCAGCACCGCCUUGGCCGUCGAGACACACCUCGGUGUCAUCAUAGGCUGGUAGCAUUUCCUGUCCACAGGAUCGUGACUCGAAUGUCCCCAGCCAUAUGUUUCCUGAGAGCCAGAGCCACGAGCAAGGACCUCAUCAAUGGUCUUUCUGGACACCGUGGGCGUACCACCAAGCCCAGGGUGUUCCCUCAGUUGCACCACGGUCUGCCCCGUCAGAACUCUGGACACCAGAGGCAACCGUAAGCCGCUCCUCCCAUGGGUACGGAUGAGGCUUCAGUACCACCUGCAGACACCCAGGUCCCACCUGAGUCUGAUGCCGCUCCUAAGAAGAGGAGCCCCCACAGGACCCUCUUCUCCCUGGCCUCUCCUCUUCCUUCUCGGCAGACGAGGCUGUGGCAGGAACAUCCUUCUCUGGCCCUCCCCCAAUUGACCUAAGGGCACAUCAAGACCUCUUGAGAUGGGUGGCGCAGAAUAUGAAUCUGCAAGUGGAGAAGGUCCCUGAAAUAGAGGACCCUGUAGUGGACAUCCUAUCUGCAGGCGCACCUACUAGAGUGGCCCAGCUGUUUAUCUGCACUAUUCAAGCAAAUGCAGACACCAUUUGGCAAUCCCCAGCCUCGAUCCCCCUCACAGUCAGGGGAGUAGAGAGAAAAUACAUGGUACCUUCCAAGGAGUAUGAGUAUCUCUACAUACACCCACCUAUUUGCUCCCUAGUAGUUCAAUCGGUAAACGAGAGGGAGCGUCAUGGCCAGCAAGCUCCUGCUCCUAAGUCCAAGGAGGCUAGGUUAGGCGCAUGGACCUCCUAGGCCGCAAAAACUUGUAUUUGUGCCGAGGAGAGGAAUGUGUGCAUUCUACUGGACAACAUCAUGGCAGAUGUGAAAGCCAAGACUAUAACAGGAUUCAAAAAAAGAGCUAAAUCAAUUCAUGGAGGAUAUGCUCUGAGCCAGAGCUGGGAAUAGGUGACAGGGGAGAGAUCUCUUGAUGAUCACUUGUUCUGUUUGCUUCCUCUGAAGCACCUGGCUUUAGCCGCUAGAGGAAGACAGGAAACUGGACUAGAUGGAUCCAGUCUGACCCAGUGCGGCCGUUCUUACGUCCUUAUGCUCCUUUCAUACAGAUGCCUGGGAUUCUGCCUCACAAUGUGUCCCUGAAGUCUCAGCCAAAUUGCCCCAGACAGGCAAACACUCUGGGCUCCUGAAGCCUCUGCCCCCCACCUAUUGCCCUAUGGCUCAUCUCUGACCCUUGCUGCUGCUGCUCCUUGCUAUAGACUGUGAAAGGAGCAGAGGCAGCGCAGGAGCCUUCUGGGGAUGCAGAGCUGAGGCUUUGAGAGACACAUUGUCUGAGACAUCAGAGCGCUGUAAACCAUGCAGCCACCCCCUCACUCAGGGGCCUGUUCCAGCCCUGAGUCUGGGCUACCGCGAUCCCUCCCCCAGAGCAGGGUGCCCACAGAUUACAGCCUGAAAAUAGACCUGUGACACUAACUCCUGCUUUCCCUGACAGGGCCUACCCUAGACCAAAUGGCAUCGCAGGCAAGAAGUGUCUUCAGUGCCCGCUGCCCAAUACAUUACACUUUGGAAUGCUUAUUUUUUGUUGCACUUGUAGCUCAGUUCAUGAUUUUGAUGCACAAUGUGGAUGCAUGAUUCUCUCUGUCGUAUCAGAUGAUAAAUUUGCAGGCUAGGAUCUGUAAAUCGGUAUUUAUUCAUGCCAUGUACAAGUAAAUAAAACAAAUUCAUUUCCUCUGAGCAUAUAGAAACUUCUUAAUUUUGACAGUAACUGAACUGUACGAACAUCUGGAAAUGGAACUGUCACCAGCACAGGGUGGGCCAGUAUUAAAUAGUGUUACAGGAGGAGACAGCGUUACGAUGUUAACCCCAGUGCUUUAGUUCAAAGGUCACUUUUCUCACCUUUGCCCUCAUGAACUGAAGCGCAGCAUCAGAGAGAUCCAAAGAUUGGCCAAUGAGAUUUUCCAAUGCUAAAAUAGCAAGCGAUGUCGGUCUCUCAUUGGCCAGCACUGAUUGAAGAUAUGGUUUAAUGAGCUGGAGCUUCAAGGCGAGGGUGGCUCUGUCCACUGCCUUCCGUUGCAGUGCUGGGCACCAAGUCCCUGUUGGCCAAGAUGUGAAGCUGGGAGAAGAGAGUGGGGUGGCAAGCGGCUCCUGCUUUCUCCUUAGCUGGGUCCCACUCUGGUCCAGGUAGUUCCAGCUCACACAGAUGAUGGGAUCCCCUGCCCAAGUGACUCCCUCAUUACACUGCCUUGCCUGUCAGUCUGGCUAACUUGGAGCUUUGGCCUCUCCCCAUUGCCCCUGGGGACUUUCAGUCUUAGGAUCCUGAUUUCCCAUUGAUCCUUCCUGCUUCUAUUGGUAGUGGGAACUAGCCAAACAAAAGCCCACUGAGCUUUAGUAAGGGGCCAACAGUCCCUUACACGAGCUGGCCCCGGAGAGUCACCGAUGUGCAGAGACAGCAGCACAAGCUGGUCCCAUAGUGUAUCUGGCAGCACUCAAGACUCUGAAUUCUGCAAUCUGAGUUCAAAUCUCAGUGGGACCUUAUGGCAACCGCCUAGAGCUCACAGUGCUCAACUUCCCUGUCUCCAGCUGUGCAGGAGCAAAUCUUUCCUCUCCUGCUGGGUGACUUGCCCAUUAGGGCCUGGUUGUGAUGGCCACAAUGGGUUGAGGCUCUAGAACUUGCUGUCCUGGUUGCUGAUGCCUGCAGUCCUGUGGUUUGACCAGAUGCUUAGGAUUCUCACAGCUUCACCAGAUGCUGUCAUAAACAGAUAGCUAAGGAUUAAUGUCUCUUUCACCUGAAAAAAAGUAACCUGAAGCACCUGACCAGAGGACCAAUCAGGAAACCAGACUUUUUCAGGUCUGGGUGGAGGGAAGUUUGUGUCUGAGUUCUUUGUCUUCUGCCUGUACUCUCUCGGCUUUGAGAAGUGAUUUUUUCUGUCUCCUGCCUUUCUAAUCUUCUGUUUCCCAGGUGUAAGUACAAAAGAUCAGAUAGUGAUUUAUAUGUUUUUUUUUGUAUUUACAUGUCUAUAGUUGCUGGAGUGCUUUGAAUUGUAUUCUUUUUAAAUAAGGCUGUUUAUUCAUAUUUCUUUUAAGCCAUUGACCCUGUAUUUGUCACCUUAAUACAGAGAGACCAUUUUUAUGUAUUUUUUAUUUCUUUUUAUAUAAAGCUUUCUUUUAAGACCUGUUGGAGUUUUUCUUUAGUGGGGAACUCCAGGGAAUUGGUGGGAGGAAGAAGUCAGGGGGAAAUCUGUGUGUGUUAGAUUUACUAGCCUGACUUUGCAUUCCCUCUGGGUGAGGGGGGAAGAGAGAUUAGCUCUCGGUAGUUCUGUUUUCCAGGACUGGGAACGGAGAGGGAGGAGUCCCUCUGUUUAGAUUCACGGAGCUUGCUUCUGUGUCUCUCUCCAGGAACACCUGGAGGGGGGAAGGGAAAAGGUUUAUUUCCCUUUGUUGUGAGACUCAUGGGAUUUGGGUCUUGGGGUCCCCAGGGAAGGUUUUUGUGGGGACCAGAGUGCCCCAAAACACUCUAAUUUUUUGGGUGGUGGCAGCUUUACCAGGUCCAAGCUGGUAACUAAGCUUGGAGGUUUUCAUGCUAACCCCCAUAUUUUGGACGCUAAGGUCCAAAUCUGGGACUAGGUUAUGAUAUGAGUGGCAGUGGUGGGAUAGAAUCCAGAAGCCAGUAGGAAUAUUAUAUUUUUCUUUUCUCUGCUAGGGGCUUUUAAGCAGAAACAGUUUAGUUUUAAAAGGAACCAGAGAGAAUUUUUUUUCUCUGUUCUCUCUGGCAGUUGUGGCUUUCAUAUUAAGCAAGCAACCAUUAAGUAACUAUUACAGGUCUUUUGUCACACAAUAGCACUCCCAUUAGGAGUCAAAUACCAGCACUAUAUACAUGCAAAUAAAGUGGGUUUUCUGGUUUACUUUACAUUGAAAACAUUAGCUAGAGGAAAAAAGGGAAAAAGGCACUGUUGCUAGGCAGACCCCAGGAGGCAACAGAGAACCUGCAGUUCAGACAAUAAACACCGGAGGGCACCCCAACACAAGAAAACAGGAACCAUGCCUUCCAAUACAAAAAUGGAGGCUGAAGAACAAAUCAAAGAAGCUGAACACAGGCGAGAACUGGAAAAAAGACUACAAGAGAUGGAGCUGAGAGAAAGAGAAAGAGAGGCAGCCUACAAAAGAGAGCAAGCAGCCAAAGAUGCAGACCACCAAAAACAGCUGGAACUCCAGAGGGAAGCCCACUGACAGGCCAUGGAAUUAGAAAAGGCUAAGCAAAACACAGCCAGCCCUAACAACCCUGCGCCAAUGAUUGUUCCACAGCACAGGAAAUUUCCCACCUACAAGGCAGAUGAUGACACCAAGGCCUUCUUGGAAAAUUUUGAAAGAGCCUGUCUUGGGUACCGCAUCCCUGAAGACCAGUACAUGGUAGAAUUGAGGCCACAGCUCAGUGGACUUUUAGCAGAGGUGGCAGCUGAAAUGCCUAAGGAGAACAUCAACAACUAUAAACUUUUUCAAACCGAGGCCAGAUACAGAAUGGGGAUCACCCCGGAUCAUGCCCGUCGGCAUUUCAGAACCCAAAAGUGGAAACCAGAUGUGUCAUUUCCCAAACACGCCUACUACGUUGGGAAAAAUUAUGAGGCCUGGAUAUCAGGACACAAUGUUAAAACCUUGGAAGAACUGCACCUCCUCAUACAAAUGGAGCAGUUCUUGGAUAGUGUUCCUGAGGACAUAACACGGUACAUACAAGAUGGAAAACCCAAAAAUCUC
Molecule: RNA transcript, 7387 nt
Organism: Gopherus flavomarginatus (Mexican gopher tortoise)
Lineage: Eukaryota; Metazoa; Chordata; Testudines; Testudinidae
Gene name: putative zinc finger protein 75C
Exons: 6
Source: RefSeq, a predicted model, not a curated record